This 446-nucleotide ribosomal RNA is filed under the name uncultured bacterium. Its description in RNAcentral is "partial 16S ribosomal RNA". It matches the Rfam family "Bacterial small subunit ribosomal RNA", at positions 338 to 795 of the family's 1533-position model. The record is from RNAcentral.
CCUACGGGCGGCAGCAGUCGAGAAUCAUUCACAAUGGGGAAAACCCUGAUGGUGCGACGCCGCGUGGGGGAAUGAAGGUCUUCGGAUUGUAAACCCCUGUCAUGUGGGAGCAAAUUAAAAAGAUAGUACCCCAAGAGGAAGAGACGGCUAACUCUGUGCCAGCAGCCGCGGUAAUACAGAGGUCUCAAGCGUUGUUCGGAAUCACUGGGCGUAAAGCGUGCGAAGGCUGUUUCGUAAGUCGUGUGUGAAAGGCGCGGGCUCAACCCGCGGACGGCACAUGAUACUGCGAGACUAGAGUAAUGGAGGGGGAACCGGAAUUCUCGGUGUAGCAGUGAAAUGCGUAGAUAUCGAGAGGAACACUCGUGGCGAAGGCGGGUUCCUGGACAUUAACUGACGCUGAGGCACGAAGGCCAGGGGAGCGAAAGGGAUUAGAUACCCGAGUAGUC